This 253-nucleotide ribosomal RNA is filed under the name uncultured bacterium. RNAcentral describes it as "partial 16S ribosomal RNA". It matches the Rfam family "Bacterial small subunit ribosomal RNA", at positions 524 to 776 of the family's 1533-position model. The record is from RNAcentral.
UACGGGGGGGGCAAGCGUUGUUCGGAAUUACUGGGCGUAAAGGGCGCGUAGGCGGCCUACUAAGUCGGACGUGAAAUCCCUCGGCUCAACCGAGGAACUGCGUCCGAUACUGGCAGGCUGGAAUCCGGGAGAGGGAUGUGGAAUUCCAGGUGUAGCGGUGAAAUGCGUAGAUAUCUGGAGGAACACCGGUGGCGAAGGCGGCAUCCUGGACCGGUAUUGACGCUGAGGCGCGAAAGCUAGGGUAGCAAACGGG